RNAcentral lists this ribosomal RNA (467 nucleotides) under uncultured bacterium. RNAcentral describes it as "partial 16S ribosomal RNA". It matches the Rfam family "Bacterial small subunit ribosomal RNA", at positions 29 to 507 of the family's 1533-position model. The record is from RNAcentral.
ACGAACGCUGGCGGCGUGCUUAACACAUGCAAGUCGAACGGAAAGGCCCUGCUUUUGUGGGGUGCUCGAGUGGCGAACGGGUGAGUAACACGUGAGUAACCUGCCCUUGACUUUGGGAUAACUUCAGGAAACUGGGGCUAAUACCGGAUAGGAGCUCCUGCUGCAUGGUGGGGGUUGGAAAGUUUCGGCGGUUGGGGAUGGACUCGCGGCUUAUCAGCUUGUUGGUGGGGUAGUGGCUUACCAAGGCUUUGACGGGUAGCCGGCCUGAGAGGGUGACCGGCCACAUUGGGACUGAUAUACGGCCCAGACUCCUACGGGAGGCAGCAGUGGGGAAUAUUGCACAAUGGGCGGAAGCCUGAUGCAGCAACGCCGCGUGCGGGAUGACGGCCUUCGGGUUGUAAACCGCUUUCGCCUGUGACGAAGCGUGAGUGACGGUAAUGGGUAAAGAAGCACCGGCUAACUACGUG